Molecule: ribosomal RNA, 190 nt
Filed under: uncultured rumen bacterium
Lineage: Bacteria
Description: partial 16S ribosomal RNA
Rfam family: Bacterial small subunit ribosomal RNA
Source: RNAcentral
CCUACGGGAGGCAGCAGUGAGGAAUAUUGGUCAAUGGGCGAGAGCCUGAACCAGCCAAGUAGCGUGCAGGACGACGGCCCUAUGGGUUGUAAACUGCUUUUGGAGGGGAAUAAAGUUGCGUACGUGUACGCAUUUGCAUGUACCCUCAGAAUAAGGACCGGCUAAUUCCGUGCCAGCAGCCGCGGUAAUA